RNA transcript from Macadamia integrifolia, 1792 nucleotides. RefSeq lists it as uncharacterized. The transcript has 15 exons. The record is from RefSeq and is a predicted model, not a curated record. NCBI's taxonomy places the organism in Eukaryota, Viridiplantae, Streptophyta, Magnoliopsida, Proteales, Proteaceae.
UUGGUCUUCUCUUUCACAUUUCCACGACUUUUUUUUUUUUUUGGUAUAAGGAUUUCCACGACCUGUGAAGAAGAACUGAAACAAAGAGAAACCAGAAACCCUUGAAGGAGCUCUGUUGGCCCGUAAUGGCGCCUUUGAAGUUCCUAGUUUUAUCGAUAUUCUUAGCCCUAAUUUUCACCAAAACCACGGCCGAUUCAGUCACUCACGAUGAAAAUAUUGCAUCAGAUGUCUCAGAUUCGUCUUUGAAGAUCGAAUUGGAGCAGGUCAAGGCGAAGAUCUCUGUUCUAGAAUCUAGCAUUGAAGAGAAAACCCGAGAGUUGAAGAGCAAGGAUGAGAGCAUUGCUCAGAUGGAGAAGACCAUCCAAGAAAAGUCAGAUGGCAUUGUAUCAUUACAAAAUGAGAUACAUUCGCUCCAGAAAAAAGGUACUGUAGAUGUUGAGGAGCAGAUGGGGAAAGCACAUGCCUGGGCUGGUGAACUUGAGAAGCAGGUUGAGAAGCUCAAAAGAGAACUCGAAGUGCAGAAAAAGAAUAAAGAUACCUUGGAAGCGCGAGCAAGUGAAGCUGAAAAGAAAAUUGAUGUACUGAUUAUGAAAAUAGAACAUCUCCAGAAGAUUAAUGAUGAACAGAAGAUUGGAAUUCGCAAAACUGAACGUGCUCUACUAGUUGCUGAGGAGGAGAUGAUGAAGGCAAAGUUGGAGGCCAAUUUGAAGAUUAAAGAGUUGAUGCAGGUUAGUGGUGCAUGGCUUCCCCCUUGGCUUGAAGGUCAUUUAGUUCAUUUUCAGUCUGUUGUGGCAGAACAUUGGAAUAAGCAUGGGAAACCAGCAAUGGACACUGUGGUCAAAAAGGCAUUGGAGAAAAAUACUCAAGCUCAGAAGUGGGCUGAACCCCAUAUUGAAACAGUUAAAAGUAGAUGGAUCCCAACUUUGAAGGAACAAUGGUUGACAGUUACAACACAUGCUGAACCACACAUCCAAUUAGUAACUAAGAGAGGCAUUGAGUUCUGUGAGACAUCUAAAAGCGCCAUUGCACCAUAUGUCGUUAAAGUACAAGAAUUUGCUGAUCCUUACUUCCAGGAAACCAAGAAGUUUACCAAGCCAUACAUCGAUCAGGUUGCCACUGCAGCAAAACCUCAUGUUGAUAAAGCACGUGUUACCUUGAAACCAUAUACAAAAAAGGUAGUUCACAGUUAUGGAAAAUUUCUUGAGUCAGCAUCCACUCACCACCGCCAGGUUCAAGAUUCUGUACGGGAAACACUGAAAAAGCAUGAAAUAACGAGCCCUCUUGCAACUAAAGAGCUAGUGUGGUUUGCGGCGUCUGCUUUACUGGCUCUUCCAAUAAUAAUCCUAACUAGACUGCUUUCAGCCACUUUCUGUGGGAAAGCAAAGAAACCUGCUCGGAAUGCCCAUACUACUAGCCACGCACGCCGGAGACCUAAACGGGGGCAUUCUGACAGGUAGAGUGCCAUGGAUAUUUGGAUGUAGAUUCUUUGUUGCAUAUCAAAUUCAAGCUUAGUGGCAGAAAGGGCAUAGCUUCUGUACUGGUGAAAUACUUCCAUUCCAUUGGAACCUUGAGGGUUGCUUGGUCAAAAACUCUUGGAGGAUAGUUUAGUGUUGAAAGAUGUAUGACUUGUAUAAUGUAGAAAAAAUAUGAAGACUGGGGGAAGGGAGGAAAUUUUGUUCUCUUUUAUAUAUAUAUCUUGAUAACUGCCGUAACAUAUUUAAUCUGCCUUUGAGAUUUGUUGUAGCCUUGAAAUUGGUUUAAGUUAAUUUUUCAGACGAGCUCCAUUAGUGAA